ACAAGAAGAGGUUGUUCCUCCCGUAUCGAAGCCCAUCUCACCAGUCUCUGUCGUGUCUCCAGACCACGUGAGCGACAGCACCGUCUCUGCCCGGAUCUCAGACAACAGCCUGGCACCAGUGGCUGACUUCAGUUAUCCUGCAGAAUCCUCCUCCUGCCUGGACAACUCUGCAGCUAAGCACAAGCUCCAGGUCAAGCCCCGCAACCAGCGGUCGAGUAAGAUGAG
This 225-nucleotide long non-coding RNA is filed under the name Homo sapiens (human). Its description in RNAcentral is "HSALNT0036310". Lineage: Eukaryota; Metazoa; Chordata; Mammalia; Primates; Hominidae. The record is from RNAcentral.